AAUAAAGGGCUCCGACGCCUGUUGGUCAGGAUAUUUGUCCCAAUAAAAGAGGCCCACAGAAGUCAUUCCGCAAGUAUAUUGCAGAAGCCCAAGGAGCCGGACGUGUGAACAAGAAGAAAGGUUGUUGUAUAUACUCACUCCGCCUAGCUCAAGCUUUGUUAAGGCGUUUUAAGUCAUCAUUCUCAUCAACUAAGUACUCAGGUA
Non-coding RNA from Paramuricea clavata, 204 nucleotides. The record is from the annotation of a GenBank genome assembly. NCBI's taxonomy places the organism in Eukaryota, Metazoa, Cnidaria, Anthozoa, Malacalcyonacea, Plexauridae.